GAACGAUGAACCCAACACCGCCUUGAGA
Molecule: small RNA, 28 nt
Filed under: Bombyx mori (domestic silkworm)
Lineage: Eukaryota; Metazoa; Arthropoda; Insecta; Lepidoptera; Bombycidae
Description: ovarian small RNA-15161
Source: RNAcentral